GGGGCAAUGGCGUAAUGGCAGCCGCAGAGGUCUUAAAAACCUUCGGUGUAACAACCGUGUGGGUUCGAGUCCCACUUGCCCCA
This 83-nucleotide transfer RNA is filed under the name Anaerolineae bacterium. RNAcentral's name for it is "tRNA-Leu". It matches the Rfam family "tRNA". From Rfam's summary of the family: Transfer RNA (tRNA) molecules are approximately 80 nucleotides in length. Lineage: Bacteria; Bacillati; Chloroflexota; Anaerolineae. The record is from RNAcentral. RNAcentral also lists the same sequence under 1 other name.